Molecule: transfer RNA, 85 nt
Filed under: Friedmanniomyces endolithicus
Lineage: Eukaryota; Fungi; Ascomycota; Dothideomycetes; Mycosphaerellales; Teratosphaeriaceae
Description: tRNA-Pro
Source: RNAcentral
GGCUUCAUGGUCUAGUGGUAUGAUUCUUGCUUUGGGCCACCUUCUCGUCUGCAAGAGGCCCCGCGUUCGAAUCGCGGUGGAGCCC